RNAcentral lists this ribosomal RNA (254 nucleotides) under uncultured bacterium. RNAcentral's name for it is "partial 16S ribosomal RNA". It matches the Rfam family "Bacterial small subunit ribosomal RNA", at positions 524 to 776 of the family's 1533-position model. The record is from RNAcentral.
CACGUAGGGUGCGAGCGUUGUCCGGAAUUAUUGGGCGUAAAGAGCUCGUAGGCGGUGUGUCGCGUCGGCCGUGAAAACCUGCAGCUUAACUGUGGGCGUGCGGUCGAUACGGGCAUCACUGGAGUUCGGCAGGGGAGACUGGAAUUCCUGGUGUAGCGGUGAAAUGCGCAGAUAUCAGGAGGAACACCGGUGGCGAAGGCGGGUCUCUGGGCCGAUACUGACGCUGAGGAGCGAAAGUGUGGGGAUCAAACAGG